This 382-nucleotide unclassified non-coding RNA is filed under the name Hevea brasiliensis (rubber tree). Lineage: Eukaryota; Viridiplantae; Streptophyta; Magnoliopsida; Malpighiales; Euphorbiaceae. The record is from RNAcentral.
UGGCUGGCCAUUUCUACCACCAAUAGUUGUCACUAUUAUGUGGCCUGUCUCAGUCCCAUUACCGUCAACAAUUGCUGCUUCCAUUUCCUUAUCAUCCCUGAUUCUCAUGUCAUUCAUCUCCUCAGGCAACCUAUCUACCCCAGCAUUAUGGCCACUGGAUUCUCUCAAACCCGAUGUAGGUGCUAAGCCCACGGAAGCCAUUUCCAAGAAAAGUCUGCUUACUAGUUAUCACCACAAAAGGUCAUUCACCGAAAGAAUCAAAAUGUUGAGGAGACGGAGAAAAACACCGAUCACCGGCGGUCCUCCGAUAAAAAUUGUGGCGGAGAUGAUACCAUCACCAUGAGAGAGAAAAAGAGAUACAAAGAGAGAAAGAAGAACCUGA